Molecule: ribosomal RNA, 253 nt
Filed under: uncultured bacterium
Lineage: Bacteria
Description: partial 16S ribosomal RNA
Rfam family: Bacterial small subunit ribosomal RNA
Source: RNAcentral
UACGGAGGGUGCGAGCGUUGUCCGGAAUCACUGGGCGUAAAGGGCGCGUAGGCGGCCUGGUAAGUAGGAGGUGAAAUCCUGCGGCUUAACCGCAGGGCUGCCUUCUAAACUGUCAGGCUCGAGCACAGUAGAGGCAGGUGGAAUUCCCGGUGUAGCGGUGGAAUGCGUAGAGAUCGGGAAGAACAUCAGUGGCGAAGGCGGCUCACUGGCCCGUUACUGACGCUGAGACGCGAAAGCGUGGGGAGCAAACAGG